GGCAUGGUGGCCAAGUGGAAGGUGUCAGUUUUGUUAACCAAAUCAUGGGUUCAAUCCCCGUCCGUGCCA
RNAcentral lists this transfer RNA (69 nucleotides) under Salmo salar (Atlantic salmon). It matches the Rfam family "tRNA". From Rfam's summary of the family: Transfer RNA (tRNA) molecules are approximately 80 nucleotides in length. Their secondary structure includes four short double-helical elements and three loops (D, anti-codon, and T loops). The record is from Rfam by way of RNAcentral. Lineage: Eukaryota; Metazoa; Chordata; Actinopteri; Salmoniformes; Salmonidae.